GAUGAAGAACGCAGCGAAAUGCGAUAAGUAAUGUGAAUUGCAGAAUUCAGUGAAUCAUCGAAUCUUUGAACGCACCUUGCGCCCUUUGGCCAUUCCGAAGGGCAUGCCUGUUUGAGUAUCAUGAACACCUCAACUCUUUAUGGUUUUCCAUGAUGAGCUUGGACUCUGGGGGUUUUGCUGGCUCACAGUCGGCUCCUCUAAAAUGAAUCAGCUUACCAGUGUUUGGUGGGUAUCAUGGGUGUGAUAACUUUCUACGCUUGUGGUUUUUCCACCAGGUAACCUUCAGCAGUGGAGGUUCGCUGGAGCUCAUAGAUGUCUCUCCUCAGUGAGGACAGCCCUUUGAAUGUUUGAUCUCAAAUCAGGUAGGACUACCCGCUGAACUUAAGCAUAUCAAUAAGCGGAGGA
RNAcentral lists this unclassified non-coding RNA (405 nucleotides) under soil metagenome. RNAcentral describes it as "partial contains 5.8S ribosomal RNA, internal transcribed spacer 2, and large subunit ribosomal RNA". The stretch from base 1 to 121 matches the Rfam family "5.8S ribosomal RNA", at positions 35 to 154 of the family's 154-position model. The record is from RNAcentral.